RNAcentral lists this long non-coding RNA (420 nucleotides) under Lonchura striata (white-rumped munia). Its description in RNAcentral is "domestica (Bengalese finch) lncRNA (ENSLSDG00000009408.1)". The record is from RNAcentral. Lineage: Eukaryota; Metazoa; Chordata; Aves; Passeriformes; Estrildidae.
GCCCUCCUUCGCUUUGCAAAAAGCCACAGAGUUGGGUCGAUCACGGAGACCUGGGGCUGCUCCUUCUCACAGGAACCUUGGAUUCCCUCAUGGACCAGCCAGGAGCUCCGUGCUGCAACGCUGCCAGGCUGCUGAGAUGAAAAUGGGCUUCCCUGCAUGGCUUCUCACCCAUGGAUGGAAAUGAUUUGGGGUCUGCCUUCAUGCCAGUUAACACUUCUUGACGCUCUGUCCGUGCAAGACUGACAAUAAAUAACCCUCUCGAGCGCUGUGGAGAGAUGGAAACUGCAGCUGAGGAAUGAUUUUGGGGAGAGGAAGACAGAAAAGCACAAGCAAACUGUUAUGGAGGUGCAAAUACUCUUCUAAAGGAUUCGGCAAAUGCACCAGUUUAGUGCCCCCACAGGGAACAUCUUUGCUGAUCUG